Molecule: long non-coding RNA, 1155 nt
Filed under: Marmota monax (woodchuck)
Lineage: Eukaryota; Metazoa; Chordata; Mammalia; Rodentia; Sciuridae
Source: RNAcentral
CUCUCAGCAGUGACUGGUCCUCUCCUCACCAGGGCUCCUCCCUGUCAUGCUGUUUGUGGUUGUACUUGGAAGUGUGGCCCAGGGAAGGACACAGAGUGGGGAGAGUGGCCAAAAAAUUCUGGAAGUUCUUCUCCUGGCUGAUUUCUGAGGGCCAUUUUCCUCCUUUAGCUGGAGCACUGGCACUUUUGUCAAAUGUUGAGGUCCAACUGGAAGUAGCACCAUGUUUACAUGCCUGACUUUCUUCAUGGAUUCUGUGGCACCUCAGGGCUCACGCCUUCCCAUCCUCAUCUUCAGAUCAGUGGGUUUUCAUAUGCUGUCUCCCCUUCAGGCUCUUGGUAGUGUUAUCUCAUGAUCAGGUCAGACAGGGUUGGCUGGGACCAAACAAGCCCCCUGAGUGAGCAUACAAUUUGUAAAGAGUUAUAUCCACUGAAGGAGGACAAGUACUAGAGGAAAGGCUUACGCAGAGGUCAUCAGAAGCCAGGGCUUCAGUUGACUUGGGGCAAAUAAUUGAUACCACUAAGGUCCAACAAGACAGAAUGAAAGGUGGCAGGAAUAUGACAGACUUAGAUUCUCCCCAUUUAAAGUGCACCUAAUAUGUGUGUAGGUACUAAUUCCUCACUAUAUAAUACUGCAAUUAAUUCUAUGAGAACAGUGCAUUGUCCCCACUAGAUGGCCAAAGAAACCGAGACUUGGCAGGUUUAAACAACAUGCCCAAGUCAUAAAGUUACUCACAGAGAGAUUGAGGUCCUUUGAUUUCAAGUUUGCCCCUUACCUUUGUGACCCUGAACAAUCAAGGAUCAGGUAUUACUUGGAGAAGGAAGCAGUGGGUAGGCAAUGGACAUUAGGAGAUUAUGAAAACUAAAUUCUUUGCAGGGCUGGAAAGUUAUCCUGAGGCCCCAUAGCUACCUGAAGUAGGGUUGACUGGGUCUCAGAAAAAAAGAAGCCUUUUUAAAAAUAUUUUUUUAGUUAUAGAUGGAAACAAUGCUUUAUUUUGUUUAUUUAUUUUAUGUGGUGUUGGGGAUCGAACCCAGGGCCUCACACAUACUAGGCAAGUGUUCUACCACUGAACUACAAUCCCAGCCCCAAGAAGCCUGGUUUUAAGAAGUGAGGUCUAAGAUCAUAUCCAGACUAUCUGAUGAUAUAAUGGUGAGUCAC